UAGGCAGAAGCCCGCUGGAUUGGGCGGUUGGUUGUUAACCAAGAGAUUACGGGAUCAAGGCCCGUCUGGCUAUU
RNAcentral lists this transfer RNA (74 nucleotides) under Coleodactylus brachystoma. RNAcentral describes it as "tRNA-Asn". It matches the Rfam family "tRNA". From Rfam's summary of the family: Transfer RNA (tRNA) molecules are approximately 80 nucleotides in length. Their secondary structure includes four short double-helical elements and three loops (D, anti-codon, and T loops). Lineage: Eukaryota; Metazoa; Chordata; Lepidosauria; Squamata; Sphaerodactylidae. The record is from RNAcentral.